RNAcentral lists this ribosomal RNA (350 nucleotides) under uncultured bacterium. Its description in RNAcentral is "partial 16S ribosomal RNA". It matches the Rfam family "Bacterial small subunit ribosomal RNA", at positions 338 to 699 of the family's 1533-position model. The record is from RNAcentral.
CCUACGGGGGGCUGCAGUCGAGAAUCAUUCACAAUGGGGGAAACCCUGAUGGUGCGACGCCGCGUGGGGGAAUGAAGGUCUUCGGAUUGUAAACCCCUGUCAUGUGGGAGCAAAUUAAAAAGAUAGUACCACAAGAGGAAGAGCCGGCUAACUCUGUGCCAGCAGCCGCGGUAAUACAGAGGUCUCAAGCGUUGUUCGGAACCACUGGGCGUAAAGCGUGCGUAGGCUGUUUCGUAAGUCGUGUGUGAAAGGCGCGGGCUCAACGCGCGGACGGCACAUGAUACUGUGAGACUAGAGUGAUGGUGGGGGAGGCGGAAUGCUCGGUGUAGCAGUGAAAUGCGUAGAUAUCG